This 140-nucleotide small RNA is filed under the name Arabidopsis thaliana (thale cress). RNAcentral describes it as "ATSL087570". Lineage: Eukaryota; Viridiplantae; Streptophyta; Magnoliopsida; Brassicales; Brassicaceae. The record is from RNAcentral.
UAUAUUACAAUAAGAAUAUUUUAAAAUAAUAAAAAUAAUAUUUAAUUUUACGGAAUGAAGUUAUCUGGUGGAACGAGUUUGGGUUGAUACUCAUACGGGAUGAUAAUCUACGAGUGUAAUCUUAGAAUUAACAAUUUUAA